CUGGGAGUUGGUCUCCUAGCCAUUCAUCAACACCAGUCGAAAGUGUCAGAGGGGAUGGUGUUGGGAGUGAAGGGGGAUCAACUUUCACGCCUGGCAUGAUCGAGUCUACCAUAGGUCCAAGGGAUUUAGAUUUAAUCCAGGCUCGAUUUAAAAUUUCGACUUCCUUCAAGUUGAAAUCUCCGAUCGCUGAUGAUAGGAUUG
This 201-nucleotide long non-coding RNA is filed under the name Elaeis guineensis (African oil palm). RNAcentral's name for it is "long non-coding RNA (EGUI_LNC024407)". The record is from RNAcentral. Lineage: Eukaryota; Viridiplantae; Streptophyta; Magnoliopsida; Arecales; Arecaceae.